GGGGAACCUGCGGCUGGAUCACCUCCUUU
RNAcentral lists this ribosomal RNA (29 nucleotides) under Methylobacterium sp. 157. RNAcentral's name for it is "partial 16S ribosomal RNA". RNAcentral also lists the same sequence under 14 other names. Lineage: Bacteria; Pseudomonadati; Pseudomonadota; Alphaproteobacteria; Hyphomicrobiales; Methylobacteriaceae. The record is from RNAcentral.